Molecule: ribosomal RNA, 468 nt
Filed under: uncultured bacterium
Lineage: Bacteria
Description: partial 16S ribosomal RNA
Rfam family: Bacterial small subunit ribosomal RNA
Source: RNAcentral
GACGAACGCUGGCGGCGUGCUUAACACAUGCAAGUCGAACGGAAAGGCCCUGCUCUUGUGGGGCUCUCGAGUGGCGAACGGGUGAGUAACACGUGUGUAACCCGCCCUUGACUUUGGGAUAACUUCAGGAAACUGGGGCUAAUACCGGAUAGGAGCUCCUGCUGCAUGGUGGGGGUUGGAAAGUUUCGGCGGUGGGGGAUGGACUCGCGGCUUAUCCGCUUGUUGGUGGGGUUGUGGCUUACCAAGGCUUUGACGGGUAGCCGGCCUGGGAGGGUGACCGGCCACAUUGGUACUGAGGGACGGACCAGACGCCAACGGGAGGCAGCGGGCGGAAAUCUGGCAGAGCGGGGGGACGCGAGUGACGGAAACCCGCGGAUCGGAAUACCGGCUUACGGGUGGAAAACCACUUUGGCCGUUACCAAGCACUGCGUGACGGUAAUGGGUAAAGAAGCACCGGCUAACUACGUG